This is a long non-coding RNA of Panicum virgatum (switchgrass), 2258 nucleotides long. RefSeq lists it as uncharacterized. The record is from RefSeq and is a predicted model, not a curated record. The transcript has 2 exons. Lineage: Eukaryota; Viridiplantae; Streptophyta; Magnoliopsida; Poales; Poaceae.
UCGCGACGCUGCUCUGCCCCGCCUCCGCUUUUCGCCUUUACCGCCGGCGCCGAUGCCAGCAACCGCGCUCGCCGCCCCGCUUCGCGACAAGGCGCGGAAACCGCCCAGCCGCGCGCCUUGACCACCCCGAGACCCCAAAACCCUAGCUACCACGUGCGCCGCGCCGUGCGAUGGCCGCCACGCGUCCACGCGCGCGUCCCCGGGCCGGACCGUCGAUCCUCGACGUCCGUGCCCAAGCUGAGACCUAGAAGCGCCUAUAAAACCCCCCAAUCGACCUCUCCAAACCCUAGCCUCCUAUCCUCUCGCCUCAAUCGAGCGCCGCCGCCACCAAAUCGAGAAAACAGAGGAGGGCGGAAGGAGAGCAGGAAGAGGAGAGCUCGGAGCCAAGGAAGAAGAAGGGGAUAGGAGCUGAAGAGGAGGACGACUGCCGCCGCGGCCCGACGACGCCGGCCAACACCAGGCCAAGGAGGGAGGUGGAGACGCCGCCGCCACCACGUCAAGCGUGCAGAGGAGGAGGACGCCAUCGCCGGGGGCUUCCUCACACCUGCGCCGAACGACGACACCGGCGCAGCGGUUCUCCCUGCACUGCUACGAGCCACCGGCCUCGACUCACCACCGCGUCACGCCUGACCUCCACGAGCCUGCCGGCCCUUAGCGAGGAGGAGCUGAUCGACGCCUCAGACACCCAGAGGACCCAGGAGGACGUCCCGAACUACGAGAAGACUCCGAAGACCUAGAACGACUAUGAGAAGUCUCAGGUUCACGCCCAUCUAUGAUUUGAUUACCUAUUAGACAUUGCUUGCUAGAACUGCUAUCGCUUUAUUACUGUUAUGAGAUGAACCUGCAUAGCCAAUUGUGUGCCCUUAUUCCUUGAACUCCUAAUAUAAACCAUGUUGAAUGGUUGAUAUGCUUGCAUGUGUAUGUGUGGGAUUUCCUCGUGAUAUGAUAGUCUUGGCGUGAGUGGAGAUCCACCAUAUCAGGAGUUGGUGAUUAGGGUUUUUAGCUGGGGGCGAGCAAGUUGACUUUGCUAGGGGUGUGUGUUGGGCACACCCUAUGAGCACUUGUUGCGGGUGCACGUUGGUGUCAUUGGACACGAUUAGACUCUUGAGGUGUUUUGUGGGGCCUUACCUGUAAUGGGUGCCAUUCGCGGACCGUUGCGACGGAUACGCAUGAGGACGGGGAUGCUCGCCCCGGCAUAUAAGGAACCGGUUGGUGUAGCUAUGAUUAGUGGGACUUUGUGAGCGUGCACACCACUUAUCCACUAUGCGGGUGGAUCCAGUUCGAGGCUAGUAAGUGUGGUACCAAGCCUGUAGGCGGAUGUAGUAUCGGUGCAGGGGGAGCAGGUGUGGACCUGACGUUCCCCGAUUCGCGGGAUUCAUGGGAAUCCUAUUCUAGAUGGCUUCACAGUCUCGGGGCGACCUCUUGCGAAAGAACGAGCCCAAACCCAGGAAAGCAAGAUGGUGCCAUGGCUACUAGUUCUUGUUCUCAGUAGACCGGUGUCUCGUUGUCUGUCGGCUGGCCUCUGGCUGGCAGUGAUUCGAGUGGGUCCAGGUGUACAACCCAUGCAGGGUGAAAUCUAUACGUAUAGCCACGUACUCGGCCAUGUACAUUCCUACUCUUCCGUUACUUCCAUUAGUUAGUGUGCCUUGAUACUUUUCUACCUCCCUCUAGUCUACUUUCCUGCUUGGACAGCAGCUGAGGUGCGAGGAGAGGGAGUUCUCGCACCGACUUGGUUGGAUAUCAGGGACUUGGGUGAGUCUCGGAGGUGUGAGUUGACCGGGAGUCUGAGAUGCCGGAAUGGAGUCCGGGAUGCCGGAAUGGCCCGCGUCAGGUGACUUGGCAGAUGCUAUACUUUGUUGAUGCUACGUUUAGGAAACCUUAGCCUUAUCCGUUGGCUAUUUCUUUAUACCAUAAUGCAUCCACUUAAAAGCUUGCAUACGGAUGGUGACAUGAACCUAUCCCGUCUUUGGGGAUAAUUUGGUAGAUACAGGAUCCGACUCGAAGAUCGACGACGACUUUGAAGGAAGGACUAAGGACGACUCGUGCUUCGCUCAAGUUUGCCUGUGAAGGAAGGACAUCAAGAUGGAGGUUGCCCCAGAAGUCUAGCUACCGCUUCCGUGUUCUGUUUGUUUCCUUUUGGCCCAAUGGGCUUGUAUCUGAAUCUCAUACUACAAUCCGCUGGAUUAUGUAAUAAUUAAACUUUUAUUGUGUUUAAACGCGAAGCAUGACUAUGAUAUGUAAUUGAAAUGAGUUCUGUA